RNAcentral lists this ribosomal RNA (396 nucleotides) under uncultured bacterium. RNAcentral's name for it is "bacterial SSU rRNA". It matches the Rfam family "Bacterial small subunit ribosomal RNA", at positions 30 to 424 of the family's 1533-position model. The record is from RNAcentral.
AUUGAACGCUGGCGGCAUGCUUUACACAUGCAAGUCGAACGGCAGCACGGGCUUCGGCCUGGUGGCGAGUGGCGAACGGGUGAGUAAUGCAUCGGAACGUGCCAUUGAGUGGGGGAUAACGUAGCGAAAGUUGCGCUAAUACCGCAUAUUCUGUGAGCAGGAAAGCAGGGGACCGCAAGGCCUUGCGCUCUUUGAGCGGCCGAUGUCAGAUUAGCUAGUUGGUGAGGUAACGGCUUACCAAGGCGACGAUCUGUAGCGGGUCUGAGAGGAUGAUCCGCCACACUGGAACUGAGACACGGUCCAGACUCCUACGGGAGGCAGCAGUGGGGAAUUUUGGACAAUGGGCGCAAGCCUGAUCCAGCCAUGCCGCGUGAGUGAAGAAGGCCUCGGUUGGUU